CCAGAGAACUUAGCAGAGAUGCUUUGGUGCCUUCGGGAACUCUGAGACAGGUGCUGCAUGGCUGUCGUCAGCUCGUGUUGUGAAUGUUGGGUUAAGUCCCGCAACGAGCGCAACCCUUAUCCUUUGUUGCCAGCGGCUCGGCCGGGAACUCAAAGGAGACUGCCGGUGAUAAACCGGAGGAAGGUGGGGAUGACGUCAAGUCAUCAUGGCCCUUACGGCCAGGGCUACACACGUGCUACAAUGGCGCAUACAAAGAGAAGCGACCUCGCGAGAGCAAGCGGACCUCAUAAAGUGCGUCGUAGUCCGGAUUGGAGUCUGCAACUCGACUCCAUGAAGUCGGAAUCGCUAGUAAUCGUAGAUCAGAAUGCUACGGUGAAUACGUUCCCGGGCCUUGUACACACCGCCCGUCACACCAUGGGAGUGGGUUGCAAAAGAAGUAGGUAGCUUAACCUUCGGGAGGGCGCUUACCACUUUGUGAUUCAUGACUGGGGUGAAGUCGUAACAAGGUAAGCGUAGCGAG
RNAcentral lists this ribosomal RNA (520 nucleotides) under uncultured bacterium. RNAcentral describes it as "bacterial SSU rRNA". It matches the Rfam family "Bacterial small subunit ribosomal RNA", at positions 988 to 1509 of the family's 1533-position model. The record is from RNAcentral.